This 468-nucleotide ribosomal RNA is filed under the name uncultured bacterium. RNAcentral describes it as "partial 16S ribosomal RNA". It matches the Rfam family "Bacterial small subunit ribosomal RNA", at positions 28 to 507 of the family's 1533-position model. The record is from RNAcentral.
GACGAACGCUGGCGGCGUGCUUAACACAUGCAAGUCGAACGGAAAGGCCCUGCUUUUGUGGGGUGCUCGAGUGGCGAACGGGUGAGUAACACGUGAGUAACCUGCCCUUGACUUUGGGAUAACUUCAGGAAACUGGGGCUAAUACCGGAUAGGAGCUCCUGCUGCAUGGGGGGGGUUGGAAAGUUUCGGCGGUUGGGGAUGGACUGGCGGCUUAUCAGCUAGUUGGUGGGGUAGUGGCGUACCAAGGCUUUGACGGGUAGCCGGCCUGGGAGGGUGGCCGGCGACAUUGGGCCUGAGGGAGGCACCAGUCGCGUACCUGCCGCAGCAGUGGGGAGCAUGGCGGAACGACGCCAAGCGAGAUACGGCAACCUCCCGAUCGUGAUGCUCUCUUUCGAGGGGUAAACCAAUUUGUACGGAGCCGUAGCGGUAUUGACGGUAACUGGUCAGAAAGCACCGGCUAACUACGUG